Molecule: long non-coding RNA, 508 nt
Filed under: Cricetulus griseus (Chinese hamster)
Lineage: Eukaryota; Metazoa; Chordata; Mammalia; Rodentia; Cricetidae
Description: lncRNA (ENSCGRG00015034345.1)
Source: RNAcentral
AAGAAGGAGGCAAAAUAGUCUUGAUAUAUCCACGGGGAGCUUAAAGUCUAUUAGAGGAAAGGAAGUUAUUGUCCUCAGUAAUGUAGCUACAAUUAAGCUACUCAUGUUCUAAUAGAGUCACACCCAGGUCAGGUUGCUACACUCCCUAUUAGAAGAGUUAGACAACUACUCUGUGGGAAACAGAUACUUGAAGAUAACUUAAGCAAAAACAACAACAACAAAAUAACAACAAGAUACACAGCUUUUACAGCAUCAACAGAUGUUAAUCAACAGUCGAGGGUCUGGUUUCUUUUGAUUUUUCCAGGUGGAAAGAAUGUGUGUGAUCUUUAAAAGGGACAUAAGUGCUCUUGGUGCCAUCUUCAACUCUGAUUGAAUUUACUCUAAGGGUUAAUACCACAAAGGAUUGAUGAGUCAGGAGCUGAGUGAUAGUGGCCCUUUGAGAUGGGAACAAGAGCGUUGGUCUUUUCAAAGCUCUGAAGUGAUGAUGAGAGGCACAAGUGUCCUAACG